GUGGAUUAUAUACCCUGGUAGUCCACGCCGUAAACGAUGGAUGCUAGCCGUCGGCAAGCUUGCUUGUCGGUGGCGCAGCUAACGCAUUAAGCAUCCCGCCUGGGGAGUACGGCCGCAAGGUUAAAACUCAAAGGAAUUGACGGGGGCCCGCACAAGCGGUGGAGCAUGUGGUUUAAUUCGACGCAACGCGAAGAACCUUACCAGCUCUUGACAUGUCCGGACGGUUUCCAGAGAUGGAUUCCUCUCAGCAAUGGGCCGGAACACAGGUGCUGCACGGUUGUCGUCAACU
This 289-nucleotide ribosomal RNA is filed under the name uncultured bacterium. Its description in RNAcentral is "partial 16S ribosomal RNA". It matches the Rfam family "Bacterial small subunit ribosomal RNA", at positions 773 to 1060 of the family's 1533-position model. The record is from RNAcentral.